Molecule: ribosomal RNA, 253 nt
Filed under: uncultured bacterium
Lineage: Bacteria
Description: partial 16S ribosomal RNA
Rfam family: Bacterial small subunit ribosomal RNA
Source: RNAcentral
UACGUAGGGGGCAAGCGUUGUCCGGAUUGAUUGGGCGUAAAGAGCGUGUAGGCGGCCUGACAGGUCUGCUGUGAAAACUCGAGGCUCAACCUCGAGAUGUCGGCGGAAACCGUCUGGCUAGAGUCCGGAAGAGGAGAGUGGAAUUCCUGGUGUAGCGGUGAAAUGCGUAGAGAUCGGGAGGAACACCUGUGGCGAAGGCGGCCCCCUGGGCCGGCCCUGACACUGAGACGCGAAGGCGUGGGGAGCGAACGGG